This is a long non-coding RNA of Gossypium arboreum, 324 nucleotides long. RefSeq lists it as uncharacterized. The record is from RefSeq and is a predicted model, not a curated record. NCBI's taxonomy places the organism in Eukaryota, Viridiplantae, Streptophyta, Magnoliopsida, Malvales, Malvaceae. The transcript is spliced from 2 exons.
CUCAAGAGCUUAGAGGCCACAAUUGGAUAAGGGAAGGAAAAAGUGAUCGAAUAGCCGUCAAAGCCGUUCGACAACAUCCGAGAUUUUGCUCGGUAGCAAUCGGAUUCGGGAUCAUUAAAGUCGAAGUCAUCUACACUAUCAAAGCCUCCAUUUUGGUAUAAUUUUGGUUGAACUUUGAAAUGGCAUGUAUAGGACUACCCUAAUGUUGAAGGUCAUGUACCUUUCGGUUUUGUGUAAGCUUGGAUAGGCAUGCGAAAAUGGCUUAUGUACGUUUUUAGUAUGAUUCUAUAAUAGUUUGUAUGAUAAUCAUUAUGGGGUAUGAAA